This is an RNA transcript of Panthera uncia (snow leopard), 1849 nucleotides long. It is a transcript of the gene named interferon regulatory factor 9, with no coding region annotated. The record is from RefSeq and is a predicted model, not a curated record. The transcript is spliced from 8 exons. Lineage: Eukaryota; Metazoa; Chordata; Mammalia; Carnivora; Felidae.
GUGGGUCUAGAGCUAGAGGGCCCGGCCGGAUUGGAGGUGGGGGGGCGGGGGCUCCUGGGGCCCCUCUGCCAAACAGGAAUAUACAGACCGCCUGUGAGCCAGGACAUAGGGGGUUUGGCCUGAGUGAGAGAGUGACUGGGGACCACUGUCCCCAGCCCUAUAGGCAAAGAACAGGAGGUCCCUGCUGUGGGUUGUUCAGGGAAGUCAGCCCCGGCUCCACCUGACCCUGUUUGUUUUCUUGCUUUCUGGCCCUGCCCACUUCCGCUGGAGCUCUGCCCCACCUACCCCAGAGGCAAGAGGAGGGGACAGAUGGGGGUCAAAGGAUAGGUUGUGGGGGUGGUGGGUGAGGUAUCUAUGAAGCAUCUUGCAAACAGAUACUGCCUUCGCAGAUGCUUGGGGCAGAGACCGGGCCUCUCCCCAGGAACCACACCAAGGGAGUUAUCUUCCAGACAACAGAUUCCUGAAAAGAUGGCAUCGGGCCGGGCACGCUGCACCCGAAAGCUGCGGAACUGGGUGGUGGAGCAAGUGGAGAGCGGGCAGUUCCCGGGGGUGUGCUGGGACGAUGCAGCUAAGACCAUGUUCCGGAUUCCUUGGAAGCAUGCAGGCAAGCAGGACUUCCGGGAGGACCAGGAUGCCGCUUUCUUCAAGGCAUGGGCGAUAUUUAAGGGGAAGUACAAGGAGGGAGACACAGAAGGCCCUGCUAUCUGGAAGACUCGUCUGCGCUGUGCUCUCAACAAGAGCCCCGAAUUUGAGGAGGUUCCUGAAAAUGGCCAUAGGGAUGGAGCUGAGCCCUACAAGGUGUAUCGGCUGCUGCCAUCGGGGACCCUCCCUGCCCAGCCAGGGACCCAGAAAUCACCAUCAAAGCGACAUUACAGUUCUGUGUCCUCUGAGAGGGAAGAGGAUGAGGGUACCACAAAGAACUGCAUACUCAGUCCCUCUUUGAUUGAGGACCCCCUCAAAAACGAGGAGGUGGGGGCCAGUGGGGAAGCAGGCCAUUCAGAAUUUGGGAGCAGCAGCAGCAGCAACAGCCCUGAGCCUCAGGAAGGUACAGACACAACAGAAGCCCCUUUCCAAGGAGAUCAGGUGUCAUUGGAGAGUCUGCCCCCUCCAGACUCAGACUACUCGCUGCUGCUUACCUUCAUCUACGGUGGGCGCGUGGUGGGCGAAGCCCAGGUGCAGAGCCUGGACUGCCGCCUUGUGGCUGAGCCCUCAGGCUCCCAGUAUGGGAUGGAGCAGGUGGUGUUUCCCAAGCCUGACCCACGAGAGCCCACCCAGCGCCUGCUGAGCCAGAUCGAGAGAGGUGUCCUAGUAGCCAGCAACUCCAGAGGCCUCUUCGUGCAGCGUCUCUGCCCCAUCCCCAUCUCCUGGAACGCGCCCCAGGCGCCACCCGGUCCAGGCCCACAUCUGCUGCCCAGCAAUGAGUGCGUGGAGCUCUUCAGAACCACCUACUUCUGCAGAGGUGAGGCUGUUCCAGUUGAGCUGAGCCCCUGCCCCCAUCUCUUAGGACCCCCUGGGACCUUGCAGGGCUCUGCCACCACCCUGUGUUCCUUCCAGUAGAUCCUUCGUUACAGCCCAGGCAUAGCACCUUGCACUUGAGCGGUGCACACACAUCCUGUGGGGCACUGUGCUCAGCCCUGGCAGCUGUCUGGCAGCCAGCCUUCCCCAGCCAAGGUCUCGGAAGAUGAAGCUCGGAUGCAGCUCAGCACACAAGUCACAUGUUGGGGACUGCCACCACAUGGCAGCAUGCAGUAACGGGAAGACCUGGCCAGGUACUUCCAGGGCCUGGGCCCCCCACCCAAGUUCCAGGUGACUCUGAACUUCUGGGAGGAGAGCCCUGGCCCCAGCCACA